UGGCUAAUGCAUGGGAAAUUGUGUCUGCAGGUGGUUUUACAAACAUGGGCAUAUAGGGCUCCUGGUACUCAUACUCCAAAUCCCUGAAAGCAUAUGGAAACACACUUCCCCAGUGAAAUGGAAGAAAAUCAGACAAUGGUCACAGAAUUCAUCCUACUGGGAUUUUGUCUUGGAACAAAGAUU
This 183-nucleotide long non-coding RNA is filed under the name Chinchilla lanigera (long-tailed chinchilla). RNAcentral describes it as "lncRNA (ENSCLAG00000026936.1)". The record is from RNAcentral. Lineage: Eukaryota; Metazoa; Chordata; Mammalia; Rodentia; Chinchillidae.